GACGAACGCUGGCGGCGUGCUUAACACAUGCAAGUCGAACGGAAAGGCCCUGCUUUUGUGGUGUGCUCGAGUGGCGAACGGGUGAGUAACACGUGAGUAACCUGCCCUUGACUUUGGGAUAACUUCAGGAAACUGGGGCUAAUACCGGAUAGGAUCUCCUGCUGCAUGGUGGGGGUUGGAAAGUUUCGGCGGGUGGGGAUGGACUCGCGGCUUAUCAGCUUGUUGGUGGGGUAGUGGCUUACCAAGGCUUUGACGGGUAGCCGGCCUGAGAGGGUGACCGGCCACAUUGGGACUGAGAUACGGCCCAGACUCCUACGGGAGGCAGCGGUGGGGAAUAUUGCACAAUGGGCGGAAGCCUGAUGCAGCAACGCCGCGUUCGGGAUGACGGCCUUCGGGUUGUAAACCGCUUUCGCCUGUGACGAAGCGUGAGUGACGGUAAUGGGUAAAGAAGCACCGGCUAACUACGUG
Molecule: ribosomal RNA, 468 nt
Filed under: uncultured bacterium
Lineage: Bacteria
Description: partial 16S ribosomal RNA
Rfam family: Bacterial small subunit ribosomal RNA
Source: RNAcentral